Molecule: long non-coding RNA, 2925 nt
Organism: Prionailurus viverrinus (fishing cat)
Lineage: Eukaryota; Metazoa; Chordata; Mammalia; Carnivora; Felidae
Exons: 5
Source: RefSeq, a predicted model, not a curated record
GAAGGAGGCUCCAGGCUGUCAGCACAGAGCCCAAUGUGCUCUGACGCUUAACUGAGCCACCCAGGUGCCCCUCAGUGAAGUAUUUUUUAAUUAAGGUAUGUACAUUGUUUUUUAAGACACGAUGCUGUUAAAUACUUAAUAGGCUGCAGUAUAAUGUAAACAUAACUUCUGUGCAUGCUGGGAAACCAAAAAAAUUAAUUAGACUUAAUUUAUUGCAAUAUUCACUUUAUUGUAGUGAAUACAACUGAACCCACAAUACCUCUGAGGUAUUCCUGUAUAUAUAUCCAGCUGGGUCCCAAAAGCCUCUACCAAUUUUUUCCCAAAUAGCUUUGUGCAAGAGUGUUGGUUUCCCCACGUCCUCCCUAACACUGUGUAUUAUUAGUUUUGUUUCAUUUCGGGCAACUGGUUUUUCUGGACAACUUUUUGACUCCCUCUCUGCCAACAACCCACCCAGUUUUAGAGAUUUAAAAAUAACCAAAAGUGUCAAGAGAACCAACUAGCCUGGUCAGGAUGGGGGCAAAGAGAAGACCAGAAAUACAUUCUCCUACAAGCAGCCUUGCAACCAUCCAUGGACACUUCUGGCCUGAACUGACCACCUGCUUCAAAGAUCUGCCCGUUCCACGCCCGGAAGCGCACAGCCCGCUUGGCUGGGGUCUGCCCCGUGCCCUCCUGCCACACGGUCAUGUUAAGGCAGUGGAUGGUGAUGUGCUGUGUCACUUCCGAGCUUAGCAGGUGCAGAAAAUUCAUCUGGACCCGGCUGACAGCAAACUCGACCUGUGGCAGAAACACGGCAGUGAGUGCUGAGGAGCCCUAAGCCCCCACCCUGGACCCCAAUAAAAGCAGAACCCCAGGCCCCUGCACACACGCCUCUCUCCACCAGUGACCUGGCUGUGCGCCCCCGAUGUGCUGUGGGAUUUUCAGGUCCGCACCAGCCGGUCUGGAUGGCUGUAACCCUGUCACGAGGAGAGAAGGUGGUCACCGGCUCCUUGAGGUCCCGGCCCGGCCCAAGGCCUAAGCCUCUGCAGCCGCGAGUUCUUGUACUUGGGAGAUGAUGCGGCUCCCCCCACUUAACAGGAGGGGAUCUCUUGCAGGCAGGGGGCCCAGAGGUACCUCCGCUUUCAGUGCGCCAUUUGUGUCCAUCCACGUCUGGAAAGCUGCUCCAAGGUCAUCUUGCUGCUGUGCAAAGAGGAGACGGGGUGUGCAUCCUGUCCCCGCUCCUGGCCCCAAGACCUCCCCAGACUCACCAAGAGGGAGACCCAGGGUCUGAGCACGAGCUCUCCCAGCCACCUUCCCGGGUGGUAUCACGGCCAAGUCGCCUGCCUUCUGUGGAACUCUCUGUCUUUCCUCCACUUGCAAACGGAGUCAGAGCUGACCCUUCCACUCCCUUUCUCCAGGCCUUCCCUAGCUCUCCAUCACCCUCAGGAUUAAGUACAAACUCCUGCACGUGGUUACAAGACCUGGGCUGAGUGUUGUGGUCUCUGGCCCAGCCUCUCUUCUCUUGGUCACACAAACUCUGUGCACCAGACGCACUCUUGUGUUCCCAAAUCGCUAAGCACCAUGCUCUAUCUAGCCACGGGGCUUUUGCGCAUGCUGUUCCCAUCACCUGGAUCAUUCUUCUUACCCUCCAAUGCUCCAUCUGGCUAUCUCCUAAUCCAGUGGUUCUCAACUAGGGGCAGUGUUGCCCCCUGGGGGACAUUUGGCUAUAUCUAGAGACAUUCUUGGCUGUCACAACUGGAGGAGGGGUUGCUUCUGGCAUCUAGUGGGUAGAGGCCAGGCACGCUGCUAAACACCCUAAAAUCACUCGUAGCAAAGAAUCAUUUGUUGGUAAAGGCUGCAGUUGAGUAGCCCUGCCCUAGACUCAUCCUACAUGUCAGCUUCCUUGGGAAAUCCUUCAUCGGGCUCCCGCCCCCAGGCAGGGUGCGGUUCCUUUCUCUGUGUGUCGGCAGUGCCUGUGUUUCUCCUCUGGCUUGCACUGUAGCUGCCAACCACACACCUGUGCCUCCAACCCUAGCAUUGGACUUUCCAGAAGCACAGCAGCGGUCUUGCCGUGAGAACAGUGACAGGGAGAGCAGGACCGAGAGCAAAGCCCGAGAGGUCCAGAGCCCGGACUCUACAAGUAUUUCUCAAGUUCACAUCUCAGCCUUGCUGCUUGCUAACUGCAUGAUCUGGGCAGGUUGCUUACCAUCUCUCUACAUCAGGACCCUGAGAAUGGGCAUGAUUAUAAAACUCUCAGAACCUUGAGAGGAAAUCAGUGAGCUAAUCCAUGAAAAGCACAUCUAACGGUGUCUGCCUAUCACAAACACUCAAUAUAUCAGCUCUUAUGCAAAAAAAAAUUCAAAUUGCUUGAAUUUUCCAUUUUUAGAGGGAAAGGGUUCCCCCCUCCCCACCCCCACCCCCACCCCCCCAGAUCUCUUCACUUUCCCCUAGCUGUCUGGCUUCCUUAGAGAAGAGAAGGGCUGGGGUCGGUGCAGAGCGAGAGGUCAGAGCCAUCAGUUUAUUUUGGUGGAUGACGCUGGGGGGACGGACAGUGAGAUGCUGAGAGAUGAGAAGAGCAGAGCUCCGAGGGGCCUAGGGGCACGAGGGCUCCUGUUCCGUUCAGCCCUCCCCCUCAGCCAUUCCUGGGGACGCCGUCAGGGCCUGACUGUCACAGUCAGCCAGCACAGUGGUAACACGGGGAGGGACUCCUCGGAGGCCUUGGAUCAACACCAAUGGCCAAUGAUUUCAUCAAUCACGCUUAUGUAACGAAGCCUCCCUAAAACCCCAAAGGGAUGGCACACAGAGACCUUGACUUCUGGGGAGAGUGGCUACCCGGAGAGGGCAUGCGAGUCUGAGCCUCUGUCUCAUGCCUUGCCCUGUGCCUGUCUUCUAUCUGGCUAUUCCCGAGAGAUUUCCUUUUAUAAUAAACCGGUCAUCUAGUAAGUGAAA